RNAcentral lists this microRNA (22 nucleotides) under Lottia gigantea (owl limpet). RNAcentral describes it as "Lgi-Mir-10-P5_3p* (star (passenger))". Lineage: Eukaryota; Metazoa; Mollusca; Gastropoda; Lottiidae. The record is from RNAcentral.
CUGUUCGCUACUGGGGGUCAAA